RNAcentral lists this long non-coding RNA (1098 nucleotides) under Apteryx haastii (Great spotted kiwi). Its description in RNAcentral is "lncRNA (ENSAHAG00000002227.1)". Lineage: Eukaryota; Metazoa; Chordata; Aves; Apterygiformes; Apterygidae. The record is from RNAcentral.
AUGCGGUACCGGGGGGGAGGAGGAGGAGGAGGAGGAGGAGAAGGAGGAGGAGGAGGGAGGGAGGGAGGGAUGGGAGCAGGGCGAGGCGGAGGGGAGAGGGCUGGGAGCGACGGGGAGCGGCGGGAGCGGCGCUGGGAGGACGGAGGGACGGAGGAUGGAGGGAUGGGGAGAGAUGCCGGGAUGGAAAACGGAGGCACGGGAGGGAGGCGGAGGGAUGGAAGAUGGAAGGAUGGGAGCAAAAUGGAGCGACAGUGGAGGUGGAGGGAUGGAAGAUGGAGGGAUGGAAAAUGGAGGGAUGGGAGGGAGACGGAGGGAUUGAAGACAGGGAUGGGAGGAAGAUGGAAGGAUGGAAAGUGGAGAGAUGGGAGGAAAAUGAAGGGAUGUCAGAGAUGGAGGGCUGGAAAYUACGGCAUGGGAGGGAGAUGGAGGGAAGGGCUGUGUGGGAGGAAGGGGAAAGGAUGGYGGUCCUGGUCCGGGCAAAAUGGGGCAGAUCGAGGCCAAGCAGGGCUUGCACCCCCCACGACAGCCUGGGGGUGGAGAGAAGGGGCUGGCGUGGGAGCGGUGGCCGGGGUGGCCCUCGCUCCGUCCCACGGCGAGGCCGGGGUGCGAGGGCUGCGUUCGCCUGCCRUGCCGGGAGGAGAGGGGCUCCGCGCUGGCCGCCGCGUUCACAUCCCCCCCUUCGGCGUUAGAGCAGAGGGGCCUGAUCCCAGGGCACUGGCUUCUCGCUCCCUGCCUCUCCUUAGCCACCAAAUCCUGGGCAGGUCGUUCUCCUCCCCUGUCUCCCUUUGCCAGUCUUUAAAUGGGAAGUAUCUAGAGGGCAAAGCUGACUUGGGUUUAACUAAUGCCAUAACUCCCCCAGGUUGGUUAGGCAAAAAGGAGAAUGAUGAAAUUCCACAUCUGUCAUUAAAAAAAUGGCAUAAAUGCGCACAGGAGCAAACAGCAAAGCAAGGAACGAAUAAAUCAAAGCGUGUUUUCGCAUCUGUGUUCACUCAGCAUGUGUAUUGGUUGCUCAACACCAUUGCAUUUAACAUGAGAUGGGGUUCACRUUCCAGGGAAACAAGGAAACCAGAAGUAAUCCUUUCUUCUGCAGUGCCAUGA